RNAcentral lists this ribosomal RNA (734 nucleotides) under uncultured bacterium. RNAcentral describes it as "bacterial SSU rRNA". It matches the Rfam family "Bacterial small subunit ribosomal RNA", at positions 9 to 738 of the family's 1533-position model. The record is from RNAcentral.
GAGUUUGAACCUGGCUCAGGAUGAACGCUGGCGGCGUGCCUAACACAUGCAAGUCGAACGGAGACGGAGCUGGAAGGGACAGUUUACUGUAACGGAAAGACCUGUCUUAGUGGCGGACGGGUGAGUAACGCGUGGGCAACCUGCCCUGUACCGGGGGAUAACACUUAGAAAUAGGUGCUAAUACCGCAUAAUAGGGAAUACCGCAUGGUAAUCCUUUGAAAACUCCGGUGGUACAGGAUGGGCCCGCGUCUGAUUAGCCAGUUGGCGGGGUAACGGCCCACCAAAGCGACGAUCAGCAGCCGGCCUGAGAGGGUGGACGGCCACACUGGGACUGAGACACGGCCCAGACUCCUACGGGAGGCAGCAGUGGGGAAUAUUGCACAAUGGGGGGAACCCUGAUGCAGCGACGCCGCGUGAGUGAAGAAGUAUUUCGGUAUGUAAAGCUCUGUCAGCAGGGGAGAAGAAAGACGGUACCUGACCAAGAAGCCCCGGCUAACUACGUGCCAGCAGCCGCGGUAAUACGUAGGGGGCAAGCGUUAUCCGGAUUUACUGGGUGUAAAGGGAGCGUAGACGGCAGGGCAAGUCUGGAGUGAAAGGCAGGGGCCCAACCCCUGGACUGCUCUGGAAACUGUCCGGCUGGAGUGCAGGAGAGGUAAGUGGAAUUCCUAGUGUAGCGGUGAAAUGCGUAGAUAUUAGGAGGAACACCAGUGGCGAAGGCGGCUUACUGGACUGUA